RNAcentral lists this ribosomal RNA (225 nucleotides) under uncultured Stichotrichia. Its description in RNAcentral is "partial Eukaryotic large subunit ribosomal RNA". It matches the Rfam family "Eukaryotic large subunit ribosomal RNA", at positions 2423 to 2653 of the family's 3401-position model. The record is from RNAcentral. Lineage: Eukaryota; Ciliophora; Spirotrichea.
UGACUCUAGUCCGACUUUGUGAAAAGACAUGAGGGGUGUAGCAUAGGUGGGAGAUUCGUCGACCUUGAAAUACCACUACUCUCAUCGUUUUUUUACUUAUUUAAUGAAGCGGAGGCGGGCCGCAAGGCCCAAUUUCUGGAUUUAAGCUCCUUCGGGAGUGAUCCGAGUUAAAGACAUUGUCAGGUGGGGAGUUUGGCUGGGGAGGCACAUCUGUUAAAAGAUAAC